RNAcentral lists this ribosomal RNA (1257 nucleotides) under Thelidium papulare. RNAcentral describes it as "eukaryotic LSU rRNA". It matches the Rfam family "Eukaryotic large subunit ribosomal RNA", at positions 1 to 1005 of the family's 3401-position model. Lineage: Eukaryota; Fungi; Ascomycota; Eurotiomycetes; Verrucariales; Verrucariaceae. The record is from RNAcentral.
GGUUGACCUCGGAUCAUGUAGGGAUACCCGCUGAACUUAAGCAUAUCAAUAAGCGGAGGAAAANNNNNNNNNNNNNNNNNCCUCAGUAACGGCGAGUGAAGCGGCAACAGCUCAAAUUUGAAAUNUGGCNCCCUUGGGGGUCCGAGUUGUAAUUUGUAGAGGAUGCUUCGGGCAAGGCCGCGGUCUAAUUCGCUUGGAACAGCGGGUCACAGAGGGUGAGAAUCCCGUCUAGGACCGUGCGCCGCGUCCGUGUGAAGCUCCUUCGACGAGUCGAGUUGUUUGGGAAUGCAGCUCUAAAUGGGUGGUAAAUUUCAUCUAAAGCUAAAUAUUGGCCAGAGACCGAUAGCGCACAAGUAGAGUGAUCGAAAGAUGAAAAGCACUUUGAAAAGAGAGUUAAACAGUAUGUGAAAUUGUUGAAAGGGAAGCGCUUGCAACCAGACUUGCGUGUGACGGUUCCCCCCACCUUCUGGUGGGGCUACUCCGUCAUCUCCAGGCCAGCAUCGGUUUGGGUGGUCGGUUAAAGACCCCGGGAAUGUAUCUACCUUCGGGUCGACUUAUAGCCCGGGGUGCAAUGCGACCCACCCGGACCGAGGAACGCGCUUCGGCCCGGAUGCUGGCGUAAUGGUUGUCAGCGGCCCGUCUUGAAACACGGACCAAGGAGUCUAACAUCUAUGCGAGUGUUUGGGUGUCAAACCCCUACGCGUAAUGAAAGUGAACGGAGGUGAGAACCCCGCCAGGGGCGCAUCAUCGACCGAUCCUGAUGUCUUCGGAUGGAUUUGAGUAAGAGCAUAGCUGUUGGGACCCGAAAGAUGGUGAACUAUGCCUGAAUAGGGUGAAGCCAGAGGAAACUCUGGUGGAGGCUCGCAGCGGUUCUGACGUGCAAAUCGAUCGUCAAAUUUGGGCAUAGGGGCGAAAGACCAAUCGAACCAUCCUGAUGGCAUCCUGUAAAGAAGCAGAUGUGUGAGGUUGCCAGGUGGUUAAUUUCCCAACUUUCAGUUGGGUCAGUCUGAUACCUUGGUAUUGGGCGACGUCGUCAGUCUUCGGGGAUGUCCUUACGGCUAUCCGAAGCCGUCCCUACGUCGGGACGGUUCACAGACUAGACAGUGACGGCCGGAGCCUUUUGACCGGCGACGGUGAUUAUAUAGUCGAGUAAAGUUAAUGGAUCUCGCGAGUAUUUUAACCAGAACACUCGGUGGACCGUACGUGAUCAUGUGUGUCUUAUUAGGCUUGUUUGUCUGUGAUUAUGUACGCCUUAUU